GACGAACGCUGGCGGCGGGCUUAACACAUGCAAGUCGAACGGAAAGGCCCUGCUUUUGUGGGGUGCUCGAGCGGCGAACGGGUGAGUAACACGUGAGUAACCUGCCCUUGACUUUGGGAUAACUUCAGGAAACUGGGGCUAAUACCGGAUAGGAGCUCCUGCUGCAUGGUGGGGGUUGGAAAGUUUCGGCGGUUGGGGAUGGACUCGCGGCUUAUCAGCUUGUUGGUGGGGUAGUGGCUUACCAAGGCUUUGACGGGUAGCCGGCCUGAGCGGGUGACCGGCCACAUUGGGACUGAGAUACGGCCCAGACUCCUACGGGAGGCAGCAGUGGGGAAUAUUGCACAAUGGGCGGAAGCCGGAUGCAGCAACGCCGCGUGCGGGAUGACGGCCUUCGGGUUGUAAACCGCUUUCGCCUGUGACGAAGCGUGAGUGACGGUAAUGGGUAAAGAAGCACCGGCUAACUACGUG
Molecule: ribosomal RNA, 468 nt
Filed under: uncultured bacterium
Lineage: Bacteria
Description: partial 16S ribosomal RNA
Rfam family: Bacterial small subunit ribosomal RNA
Source: RNAcentral